This is a long non-coding RNA of Anoplophora glabripennis (Asian longhorned beetle), 326 nucleotides long. RefSeq lists it as uncharacterized. NCBI's taxonomy places the organism in Eukaryota, Metazoa, Arthropoda, Insecta, Coleoptera, Cerambycidae. The record is from RefSeq and is a predicted model, not a curated record. The transcript is spliced from 2 exons.
CUGUCACAAUUAGCGAACCAAUAAAUACUCCGCUGGUGACGCGCCGCUCAGACGGAGAGUCCCUGUAUGUGCUCCAGGCUCGGCGUUUGUCUUGUCGACUAGUCUGUUAGUUGCAUUGUGCACGAUUAGUUCUUCCACCAUCGGUCGUAAAACCAGUUUCGAAGUACAUCAUAGUCGGCCGUGCAAAGAACGAUGUGUUUCAUUUGCAACGCCAUUUCUUGCCUCGUCAAGACGAUCUGCAUCGUAGUCUUGCUGGUGAUCAUAGGCGGAAUAAUCGUAUUGGUUCUGUACCUCCAGGAUAUAAUAAAAUAAAGUUUGAUAAGUGA